CCUAACACAUGCAAGUCGAACGGUAACAGGAAGAAGCUUGCUUCUUUGCUGACGAGUGGCGGACGGGUGAGUAAUGUCUGGGAAACUGCCUGAUGGAGGGGGAUAACUACUGGAAACGGUAGCUAAUACCGCAUAACGUCGCAAGACCAAAGAGGGGGACCUUCGGGCCUCUUGCCGUCAGAGGUGCCCAGAUGGGAUUAGCUAGUAGGUGGGGUAACGGCUCACCUAGGCGACGAUCCCUAGCUGGUCUGAGAGGAUGACCAGCCACACUGGAACUGAGACACGGUCCAGACUCCUACGGGAGGCAGCAGUGGGGAAUAUUGCACAAUGGGCGCAAGCCUGAUGCAGCCAUGCCGCGUGUAUGAAGAAGGCCUUCGGGUUGUAAAGUACUUUCAGCGGGGAGGAAGGGAGUAAAGUUAAUACCUUUGCUCAUUGACGUUACCCGCAGAAGAAGCACCGGCUAACUCCGUGCCAGCAGCCGCGGUAAUACGGAGGGUGCAAGCGUUAAUCGGAAUUACUGGGCGUAAAG
This 529-nucleotide ribosomal RNA is filed under the name uncultured bacterium. RNAcentral describes it as "bacterial SSU rRNA". It matches the Rfam family "Bacterial small subunit ribosomal RNA", at positions 47 to 565 of the family's 1533-position model. The record is from RNAcentral.